CACACACACGGGUUUGGCCGUGGCUCUCAGUAGUAGACACUUGAAAGGACACCCUAGAGAGGGGUCCUUUUCACAGUAAUAGUGCCCGGCAGCACUUAGCGUGGACCGGGUGGCUCACUCCCACUGUAGUGAAGGGGGUGAGGGUUCUCGAUUCCACUGCAGCCCCGCUCUUCCCUUCCCGCCGAGUGGGGGGAAGAAGAGUCUUUCAUGGACACAGCACUUCACCGGCUGCGCGCUCACGCACACUCCAGAGCACUCACUCACCCAUCGUCAGCCGUGGAGUGUCGAGAUCUCAAAUUUGAGUGAACGAACAAGUGGGAAUUGGCGAUGAGUGUGAAAUAUUUCUGAUUAUAUUCAGAUGGUUCACACUCAAAAUGCUGAAACUCAGCUGCCACAACAGAAUGGACACAUGCAACAAAUGCCCAGCAUACACACACAGAUGGAUCAGUGCUACUUGGAGUAAACUCUACAAGGCUGCUGGAGGGAUGAGCCACGUCUGCUGCUUACCUUCAGAUUGUAAAGAUGGAGGGUCGUCGCUAUAACUUUCCAGGUGGAGUUUCGGACCCUCGCUUUACCCUCAUUGUGGAAAAAUGAAGAGGCUGUGGGUCUUAGACGGACGGGCAUGAGAGCAGCGUGAGGAUAGUCGUGUGUGUGAACGGUCGGCUCCUGUGGGGAAAAGAGGGAAUCCUGCCCAGACAUUCCAUGGCACAGAUUCCCCAAGAGUUUCCACUACAAUGGAAGCCUGUUCCUGGAUGAAAGCUGCAGUGGAAGUUCCCUCUCAUGGAGCGAAGGAACUCAAGGAGGGAAAGAGGAGAGGGGAAGAGGAAAGACGGCGCAGAGGGAAGGACUGAGUGGUACUUAUUGGAUGAAGACUUCAAAGCAGCACAGCAGCCAGACGGACUGAGGCUCCGGGGAAAUUAUUUACCUGACAAGCACACAGCUUUCCAAACAUUACACAACAUUACUGACCAAACAUUUAGAAAACAGAACCCUCUCUCCACAGAUUUAGUUAGGUGAAUCACAUCCGGUGAGUAAGCAGAUUAUUCAACAGAGGGACGAGAUGUCUCUGCUGUCUCUCUCGUCCCCCGUCACUCCAACUUUUCAAAAUCACAGAUGAUCAACACACUGGAACUGCUCACUGUGACGCUACAAUGAAGUUUACUUUUCUGCAGCUGUGUAACAUCUGUGGCUCAAAGAAGCUCAAAGUGGAAAAAAUAAACCUAAUGCUGCUGUCAGAUCAUCCCUCUACUGAGUUGCAUUAUGGGAACUCUAGGCUUUUGGAGCUUGACCCAACAAGAAACUAAAGGUCAGUGGACCUCUUCCUCUGCUGCUUUGAUCGUUCUUUUAAUCCAUGGCUCCUCUUUAUUUAGUAUCACUAUGACAGCUUGUAUCAAACGUCUAGUUGAUAUCGUACUUGUAUGACGUCCUAGCUAUUUUGUUUCAAAUAAUAGGAUAAUUAGUACUUUUUUUUCAAAAAGUGUUCAAAAAUGAUAUUUAACCACUUGAGAACGGUGUUUUAUUCACCAUUUAAAGAGAAGCUGAUCCAAUAGAAUCACAUAGCUGGCCACUUCUGUAGUUUCUAACAUAUUAAAACUAAGAAAGACCUUUCGUCAAAAAAAUAUUUAUAAACACAUGUUCUAAUCAUAGUUGCAAGCACAAUUCCAAGUGACUUAAAGCUGUGGAUCCCAAGAUCGC
Long non-coding RNA from Gasterosteus aculeatus aculeatus (three-spined stickleback), 1695 nucleotides. The record is from Ensembl. NCBI's taxonomy places the organism in Eukaryota, Metazoa, Chordata, Actinopteri, Perciformes, Gasterosteidae.